AUUGAACGCUGGCGGAAUGCUUUACACAUGCAAGUCGAACGGCAGCACGGACUUCGGUCUGGUGGCGAGUGGCGAACGGGUGAGUAAUGUAUCGGAACGUGCCCAGUCGUGGGGGAUAACGUAGUGAAAAUUACGCUAAUACCGCAUACGAUCUGUGGAUGAAAGCGGGGGAUCGCAAGACCUCGCGCGAUUGGAGCGGCCGAUAUCAGAUUAGGUAGUUGGUGAGGUAAAGGCUCACCAAGCCUGCGAUCGGUAGCUGGUCUGAGAGGACGACCAGCCACACUGGGACUGAGACACGGCCCAGACUCCUACGGGAGGCAGCAGUGGGGAAUUUUGGACAAUGGGCGAAAGCCUGAUCCAGCCAUUCCGCGUGCAGGAUGAAGGCCCUCGGGUUGUAAACUGCUUUUGUACAGAACGAAAAGGUUUCUACUAAUACUAGGAGCUCAUGACGGUACUGUAAGAAUAAGCACCGGCUAACUACGUGCCAGCAGCCGCCGUAA
This 500-nucleotide ribosomal RNA is filed under the name uncultured bacterium. Its description in RNAcentral is "partial 16S ribosomal RNA". It matches the Rfam family "Bacterial small subunit ribosomal RNA", at positions 30 to 523 of the family's 1533-position model. The record is from RNAcentral.